UAUGCUGCAUGAAGCAUGGAAGAUAAUGAAGGGUAUAAAGUAUGUCUUCUGUCAGAUGUAGCCUUCGCUUGAUGUUCAUUAUCUUCUGCUGGUAGAUUGGAAUCUGGUAAAUCUCACAUUGCCUUUUGGCUUCUUUGCCAUCCAGACCAUAUCAGUCCUGCUGCUAUGGCUUUGGUUUAAUGUGCCAAUUAAGAGUUGUUGUGCAUUCUCAUGUUUCUUAACAAGAAUCAUACAAAUUUAAAUUUUUAUUACUUAAUUAGCAUGCCCUUAUAGCUCCAGACCCUGUUACGUAAUGGUUAUCUAUUGUAUAAUUGGUCUGCCUUGCAGAUGAUGGUCUUUCUUAUCAAGAACUGGAAUUGCUAUGUCCCAGGUCAAAAUUCUAUGCUGUGAUGCCAAGUUAGAUGUAGUUGGUAACGGCGUCAUAAUGUCAAUUUUUAGUCAUCCUGCAAUAACCUGAGCUGCAACGUCAUAUAACUUUUACUUCAACGUCAUAUAACUUUUACUUCCUUUAACACAACUGUCCAGAUCCUACAAUUUAGUUCAUCAUCACCCUCUAAUGUAUGUGUCAACUGUUACUUAAAUGUAAUCUAGAUACUGGAUAAUUUGUUCGUACACCACAGACAGAUUGGUUGGGCAUUUCCAGUAAAUAAAGGGUAUACUCACAGUACUACCAUUUAUAAACAAUCUUUUACCUUCGUAUGUCUGCUUAUUAUUUCUUGUUUCUUACAAGUCUCAAUGGAAAGGUCAGAAAAGAUAGUCUUAUUAAUUCACUUCUGUUUCUUGCAAAUAGCCGUGGUAUUAGCUGUAGUAGUCUGACGUUAAUCGCCUUUAUUUUUAGUAAAGUGUCUCAAUUCUAGCCAUCUCAAGCUAGAUAUUUUCCUGGGACAGUAAUUCUAGUCAUAGGGACAGGUUGUAGUUUGUUCAUAUACUUUUGCCCCUGUGGUAGCUCAAGCACCUUCUUCACUAAUGAAUUUUGCUUCUGUGUGCUUUCAGUUGAAGUGAGAAAGCUUGUAGGCAUGUCGUUGAAAAUCACUAUCGGGCUUCUGAUGGUGUAGUUCCCAUCUGUCCACACCAGUGAGCCUGAAACAAUUGGCACUUGCACCAUUGGCGGUCCAACAAUAUUCAACGUAAAUGAUUUCUUCUCUCCAACUUCAGUAAAUGUUAACACUUCAGGUUCAACAGUCACAUUAAAGGAUGGUGGCAAAAAGGCUUCAUAACUGUAAGUAGAAUUUGGACAUCCCACAUUGGUAACAGUCCUUGUGUAUGAGGCACUCACUUCUUCUCCAUCUAAUAAAGAGAGAGCGAAAGAUGGGUAAUUCAAGUCCCAUGUUUUGCCAGGUGUUGAGCAAUUGCUAGAAUCACCAGAGAUGAGUCUUACUAGACUGGUGUUGUA
RNAcentral lists this long non-coding RNA (1393 nucleotides) under Daucus carota (carrot). Its description in RNAcentral is "long non-coding RNA (DCAR_LNC003733)". Lineage: Eukaryota; Viridiplantae; Streptophyta; Magnoliopsida; Apiales; Apiaceae. The record is from RNAcentral.